GCGCAGCAGGCGCGAAAACUUCACACUGUGCGAAAGCACGAUGAGGGAAUCCCAAGUGCUUGCACGUAAGUGUAAGCUGUUUCUCUGUUUAAAACGCAGAGAGAGUAAGGGCUGGGUAAGACGGGUGCCAGCCGCCGCGGUAAUACCUGCAGCCCAAGUGGUGACCGUUAUUAUUGGGCCUAAAACGUCCGUAGCCGGUUUAAUAAAUGCCUGGGUAAAUCGUGUAGCUUAACUAUACGAAUUCCGGGUAGACUGUUAAACUCGAGACCGGGAGAAGUUAGAGGUACUCCUGGGGUAGAGGUGAAAUUCUGUAAUCCUAGGGGGACCACCAGUGGCGAAGGCGUCUAACUAGAACGGGUCUGACGGUGAGGGACGAAGCCCUGGGGCGCAAACGGGAUUAGAUA
Molecule: ribosomal RNA, 404 nt
Filed under: uncultured microorganism
Description: bacterial SSU rRNA
Rfam family: Archaeal small subunit ribosomal RNA
Source: RNAcentral